CUAGGAAACGCGGUGAUAACAAACUGACCAAUUUUGAAAUUUGAAUAUUACUAUGAAUUUGAAUUCUCAAUGGAAUUCUCUCUAAAAUUUGAAAAAAAUGAUAUUUCAUUGAAUUUAAUAAUACAUUGUAUACGUGCUAUAGAACUCAAUGAAUUAAUUACUACCAGAGCAUGGCCAUGAAAAAUCUCAAGAAAUACUUGUUGUGGUUUGCGAACGAUCACGUGGAUUUUCGCCUAUCGGAAAUAGAAGCCAUUGCAUCUUUAUUCAAAACCACUAUCAUAUGGAAAGAAGAACCAUCUCAUAAGCCUUUCUGGAUAGUUGAGUUACCGUCCGAUGAAGUUGCUAGGCAAAUAGCUAAUCGAUCAGUUACUCUGAAAUUUGUAACGGAAUUAUGGGCUUCAAGCAAUAAAAUAGAAGACUUACAUAAUGAUUUGAAAACGUAUUCUUCUAACGUCCUCCAACACGAUGAAGUAUUCAAAAAAUCUUCUUUUAAAUUCAAAGUAGACGUUUUUUGCAACACUCAAUCGUACGCAGAAAAAAUGGCUAAAAUUGAAACGUUUAGCUAUCUUCCAAUUAAAGGACCUGUAAAAUUAGCCGACCCAGACAUUACUUUCCAGUAUUGUGAAUUUUAUGGAACUGAUCCAAAUAAUGUACCGGCUGAGCCUUAUCAUUUAUUUUUUGGAAAACUGAUUUCCAAAUCCAAACGAAAAUUGAUACACGAUUUUUCUUUGAAAAAAAGAAAGUUCAUUGGAAAUACUAGUAUGGAUCCUGAAAUGUCUCUAAUUAUGGCUAAUCAUGCCAAAGUUGAAGCAAACGAUCUCGUCUAUGAUCCUUUUGUAGGAUCAGGUUCCCUUUUAGUAGCAGCAGCCUAUUUCGGAGCCUAUGUUUCAGGAGUAGAUAUUGAUUUUUUAAUGGUUCACGGGAAAACAAAACCGACGAGAAAGCAAACCAGACACAUUGCUCGACAAGGAGAAAAUGUACUGGCAAAUCUAACUCAGUACGGUAUGGAAAGUAAAUACCUAGAUGUAUUAGUCGGUGAUUCAUCAUUGCCUUUAUGGAGGAAUGAAUUAAAAUUUGACGCAAUAAUCACUGAUCCUCCUUACGGUAUCAGAGAAGCUACGGAAAGAGUGGGAUCGAAAAAAUCGCGAACGUUCAACGAUCCUGAAGCAGCUGCGAGAUUUCCUCCCAAAGUUAUAUAUACUUUUCAUCAAAUAUUGUCUGAUUUGUUAUUCUUUUCGUCGUCUCAUUUAAACCUCGGAGGAAGACUAGUCACGUGGAUUCCAGUUUUUCGAAAUGUUUUCUUUUUACAGAGAGGAUUACUCUGAAUCUACUUAUAUCCCUGAACAUCCAUGUUUCAAAUUGAUAAGUAAUUGCGAACAAGUGUUAUCAAGAGUAGUUUCCAGAAGAUUACUAACUUUCGAAAAACUUAGAGAACCUACAGACGAAGAUCUGGAGCUGUGUAAAAUAGAGGAUAAUAAAUUUCGAGAGAAAUAUUUUAAUUAUAAAUAUAAUAAAUCUUCGAGCUAGUGAUUUAGAAUUAUUUUUCAUGUAUUACCUGUAACUUUUUUAUUGUUUUUAAAAUAAAAGAUUGUUUCUUCGUA
RNA transcript from Planococcus citri (citrus mealybug), 1601 nucleotides. It is a transcript of the gene named tRNA (guanine(10)-N2)-methyltransferase homolog, with no coding region annotated. NCBI's taxonomy places the organism in Eukaryota, Metazoa, Arthropoda, Insecta, Hemiptera, Pseudococcidae. The transcript has 10 exons. The record is from RefSeq and is a predicted model, not a curated record.